GAGGAUGUGGCUCAGUGGUAGAGUGCUAGUCUAGCAUGUAUGAGGUCUUGGAUUCAAUCCCCAGCAUUCCA
This 71-nucleotide transfer RNA is filed under the name Marmota monax (woodchuck). RNAcentral's name for it is "tRNA.Ala". Lineage: Eukaryota; Metazoa; Chordata; Mammalia; Rodentia; Sciuridae. The record is from RNAcentral.